AAAAGGGGCUGAGAUUCUUCUUGCCUUGCAAUUCAGCAAAGGCCAAGUCUACAUUCAUACCUACUCUAGGCAGGGAACACUUCCAUAAUUCACUUGUGAUGUCACAGUGUUUUCAUCACCUGGAAAUCCCUCAGGGCUCUGAGCUCAGGUGUGAUACCUGCCUCACUUUCGCUUUCCCUUUCCAAACACCUUGCUGCUCUUUGCUGGGUGACAGCACAGCUGGGUUUUCUGCCCUAGACUAAAGCAAAAUGAACUUUCAUGUUAUUUUUCUGAACCAGAAAAAGCCUUUGGGUAUAAAAGCAAGAGCCAUGGAGAAGAAAAACCACAUUCAGAGCCAAGAGAGAGGCAAAGCAGCCCUGAGACACAAGAGGCAACUAAAGCAACAUCCCAGCAAAUACAUGUCAAGGGAAAAUGGUGAACGUAAGCUACAAAGUUUUCUUUGCUCUGGCCAUCUGGACGAUGACUACAGAGGCCUUUCCCAAAGGCGCUGAGAGGACAAAAUGCCACCUCGCAAAAUACAAGUCCCUGCCACCUCGGGAACUGGAGGCCUUCAAGAAAGCCAAGGACAAAUUUGAGGACAUGAUGCUGUUGUCAGAC
This is a long non-coding RNA of Mauremys mutica (yellowpond turtle), 597 nucleotides long. RefSeq lists it as uncharacterized. The record is from RefSeq and is a predicted model, not a curated record. NCBI's taxonomy places the organism in Eukaryota, Metazoa, Chordata, Testudines, Geoemydidae. The transcript has 3 exons.